This 24-nucleotide microRNA is filed under the name Carica papaya (papaya). RNAcentral describes it as "cpa-miR8142". Lineage: Eukaryota; Viridiplantae; Streptophyta; Magnoliopsida; Brassicales; Caricaceae. The record is from miRBase by way of RNAcentral.
UGAGGUAAGUAGACAGUAAAGGUU